Hipposideros armiger (great roundleaf bat) is the source of this 8071-nucleotide long non-coding RNA. RefSeq lists it as uncharacterized. NCBI's taxonomy places the organism in Eukaryota, Metazoa, Chordata, Mammalia, Chiroptera, Hipposideridae. The record is from RefSeq and is a predicted model, not a curated record. The transcript is spliced from 3 exons.
UGUUCUCUCUCUCUCCUCACUUUUCUCUUCUCCUUCCCAGUCACUUCUCCCCAAAUCUUCUCAGAGUCAGCUUCCUACCCCCAUUCCCUCCCCAGAUCUUGUUUUUGGUGGUUGGAGAAAGUAACACAUCUGCACCCCCACUCUCUUCUUAAACACUAUUUACAACAUAAAUUCCAAACAUCCGCCAUCUGGUUCUAGGAAGGGCCAAAAGAUAUUUAGAAAAGGAAGUCAUGAUUAUUCCAUGUUCAAAGCCAAAGGAACUUAAAGGUUCUCCCCCUCUCCUGCCUUCCUCUGGGGCCUCUUUGUUAAGAUCUGACCCAUUAGGACCCCUCAGUGAGUAGAAGGGAUCAGUCCCAGCUGGACCUCUGACUGACUGCAUCGCUUUGGGCUCCUUGCUUCUCCUCUCUGUGCCUCAGUCUCCUCAUCUGAACAACGGGUGAGAGACCAGGGUGCCUCCAGCACUAAUGCUCUGAGACUUCAAGUCCUGCUGUAGAAAAUCCACCUGGUCCAGGUCUCUGAGGCCUGCUUUAGGCUGUGCUGUAGGGGUAGGACGGGGGCAAGGGGAGUGAGAGGCAGCUGGAGAGGCUCAGCCUCAAUCCUUGCUGCCCCGUGUCUGUGUGUCUGUCUGUGUGUCUGUCUGUCUUUCUGUCUGUCUCUCUCCCCCCCCCCAUGCAGAUCUAUGCAGACCAUUUACCUUCCUUCACACUGACUGUCAUACCAGGGGGGUGAGGUGGGGUCCAACCAUCCCCCGUUAUCUGACCCUGGGAGGACUCUGGACACCAUGGAGUCCCGUCCUCUCUCCACCAUCAUGGUGAGGCACCGAGUGGAGAAGACACUUGUCUGUAAUCACACAGCAUGUCUACAGGAGACCUGGUGCCUAACAUUCUGCUCUUCCCAUCCAACACAUUUCAAAAGAAACCAACAUUUGUGUUACCCAGAAGGCAUCGCGCAGUCCCAGUAAACUGGGACUCUGAAGGUCCCAGUUCUUUGCAAAGUGGACAGUACAGAGGAAAAACAAAUUCCUUUAUCGUGAUGUUUUUUGGUUUUCGGUUUUGUUUUUUUAACAAACAAACAGCAUGGGAGGGAGAAAUACUGUGGUAAAGAAGCAUAACAACAACGAAGAUGAGAAGUCCCUUUGCUCCUGGAGACAUGUGAUCCUUGCCAGGGCACACGUGGCCUCCACUUCUACUGAAAACACCUUCUCUGUUGACAAACGCCUUUCCAAACAGACUAGCACACACCUGACAAAAUGCCAUAAGAUACUGAUUCAGGUUGUCGCUCUAUAAAAACAGUGCCAGGGAGAGUCUGGUCUUACAGGGGAGCCGUGGAGAUACAUGGGGGGCUCCCUGGAGCCAGUUCUGAUCCUGACACUUCCUAGCUGUGAGACCUGGAGGGAGUAACCUCUGAGAGCCUGUUUCCUCAUCUGAAAAGUGAGGAUAAGAAUGGUACCUAACUCAUAUCUCAGUGUGAGGAUCAGAUGAGAAAACUGAUGUAAAAUAAAGCACUGAGAAAGUGUGGAGCACAUCGAAAGCACCCAAUGAGUUAGCUGUCACACCCGGUGUUACCUAGUAUUUAAUUACAGCAAGUCCCAAUGUAAGCCUGAUACAGGUGGUCACUGUUAUCAUUGUCACUGUUUUCCCAGUUUUCUGUUCUCACUGGAAGGACAGGGUGUGAUGGGGAGUCCUGGGGAUGCUGGUCUCUCCCCUCCCCACCCCCCACCAUCCUGGAGCCCCAGCUACUCCAGCAGGGCUUUGGAUUCUAGGUUGGGCAGGUCUGGCCUCUUUUCUUUCCCCCUGUGCCCUUUUUCCUGCAUCGCUCUUAUUUCCGUCUCAAACUAUGUUCCCAGGGCUUGCUCAAAAGUCCCCAGCAGCAAGCUUCCCUGGGGAGGAAGUGGGGAUCGUGUGAGGCUGGUGAACUCAGCUGGGGUGUUAAGGGGGUGGGAGGGCACUCUGGGAACAGAGGCCCAGAGAAGCCACACACAGGGGGGACAUGGAAAGGGCCCCGCUCGGUGGCCCCCACCCUGGCUUCUAUGUCUUCUCUGGGUGUUUCUUCGGGCCUCUGCCUCAUCCUUUCUGCUUCUCCUCCUCCUGCAUCUGGGCCUCACUGUGGGCCCAGCCCCGUACGUAUGGUGGAAAUGACAGCCAUUGAUUGUGGGCUGACUAUGUUCCAGCAACUGUGCUUGCACUUGACAUUUGACCUUUACACACAACUGGGAGGUCGGAAGCCAAGGUCCAGAGAGGUGAAGCCACCAGGGCUAGAUCACACAGCUCGAAAGUGCUAGGGUGAGAUUCCAAAGCAGGUCUGCCUGGCUCCGGGGCCUGUGUCUUCUCUGUUCUUUCCAAACGUGGUGGGAACCCUAGGGCCCUGGAGCCCAAGGAGGGCCCAGGCUGUCAUAGGUGAGCAUGUGUCAGGGAGCCGAGGAGGGAGCACAGUGGGCAAGGAAGCCCCCGUAGAAAGAGCCAGUGUGGGUGUGGAUGUGUGAGCCAGCGCGGAGCCCAAGCCUCCCUCCCACUGCAGUACCAUCUGGCUCACAGAUGUGGCCCGGUCCCAGACCCUUGCGUUUCUUGGAAAUGAGCAAGGCCAGGAGAGGGCAGAGGGGCUUUUGCAACGACCGUGAUGAUGUGAGCUUUGUUUAGUGGUCAUCCAUCCGGCCACUGCCCAAGUCCAGGAGACAGCUGGAUGGAGCAUGAGCGGCCCUGGGUUCCAGCUGGCUUUUGAUGCUCACCAGCGGAUGAGCCUGGGUACGUAGAAGAGCCUCUUUGAAGCUCAGUAAGUGGGGAAGUGACCCCUACCUCCAGCGGUGGCUGUGAAUGUGUCUGGAGUUAUGGAAGGGAACUUUUUGCGGCUGAAAACCUUGCGCAGCUGGAAGCAGUCGCAGGUGGCCCCAGGGCUGUCCCUUCCGUCUUGGCUACCAUGUAAGCCCCAGGUUUUGAACUAUCCCUACAUGGCUCUUUUCCAAUGAGUGAGGCUAGAAGUGGGGUCAGAGGAGCCUCUCGGAAAUUUCUUUCCAGACCUGUUCUUUUGCUGAUAGAGCUUGGGUUUGCUCAGAGUAGGGGAGCCCCUCUAUCACAUGGACCUUGGAGCUGCUCAAUAGGCCCCUUUUGAAAGCCAGGCAAGCGAAGCCUGAAUAAUGGCUGCCUAAGGGCCUGAGGAGCAGACCCUUUGAGACCUGGAAAAUCUCAGCAGGUUCAGCCUGAGGCUUCCGAGGAUCCAGCAGCACCCCAGGCCUAUCCUCAACCCUCGGAGCCUGGCAGCCCAGUCCGGACCUACAAAGGCCAGAGCUCCGGUCACAGGGCACCCCAGCAUCCUCUGAUAGGUGGUAGCUUUGUUCCUUUCAGGCAAGGGCACUGGCUGUUGGGAGCCAUCCCUACAGCCCUGACAUUGGAGGAGCAAGCACACCAGAGAGGGGCCUUCUGAGGACCAGGGGAGGGCAGGCAGCAGGGACCCUGGACACAACUGCGUGUCUGCCACCUCCUCGCAUCCAGCACCCACCCCGCCCCACUGAAAGCUCCUGCACUAACCUCAGUCCCACAGGACACACUCCCAAGCCCAACCCUGAGAAUGACGAAGAAACCAGACCUCAAAAUGGGAAGAGUUGAAGGAAGGCCCCUGCUGAUUGAAGAGGUGCAGGCAAUUCGGGGCUGCUGGAUCUCGGCGGUAGGUGAAAACAAGUGAGGCCAAAGGAGGGAAAACCAACCCGGGGCCAAGAAUCCACCCACCCCAUGUUCCCUACAAACUAGCAGUGCAAAGCCUGUGUGCUCCAGAGAAUACAGGACACAGAGGAACGAUAGAGAAUGAUGCUAAUCUUCCCUGGGAAGGAGUAAACAGGGUCAGACUCUAGAAACAGGUAGGUAUACCUGGGGUUGUGGGAGCCUGGUGAUAACAGAACCAGCUCGCAGGGUUUCCAGAGGGUCCAUGAGGUCAGGUGUGUGCCCAGGUGCAGAAUGGUUGGCACAUGGUAAAACUCAAGAAACUGUAGCAGUUGUUUUUACCAUCUCGUUCUUCCCACUCUUGCCAGUUUUUAGUUCCCUGCGUGUGGAGCAGGCAGGAUGACAUAAUGGCUCCAUAAGACAGGCGGACACACUGAGGCCCAGGGAGGUAAAGAAACUCAGAGUGGCGCGGUCAGUUGCAGAGAGGAGCUCUGGCCCCCGAGCUCAUGAGGAUGGAAAAAGUGGACGAAGACUUGGAGGCGAGCAGAGGAGGCAGCGCUCCAGCAAGGAGCUGACACUCCGGGAACAUGUGACGAAGCCCAGGCCUGGUUUACAUAACGCAGCACACCUGUUCACCUCUGCAUGCCCCACACGUGUGUGCAAACGUGCGGCCCAGCACAGCGCACACCCAACCCGCUCUCUCUAGACAGCGAGCCUCAGAGGCUGGGUCUAAACAAAUUGGAUUAGGAGGGCUGCAGGCGCCUUCUCCCUGUGACUGUCCCUCUCAGACACUGAGCAGGCCAGCAGAGCUGCCAGCUGUGGUGUCUCCGCCAUGCUGACAGUCCUCGCCCCCGCCCCCCUCGAGCCGCCCCCGGGCCCCAGGAAGAGGGCCAGGGUCUGAGAGGAUGCCACAAUGAUGGAUGGGCUGAGGAGGUUCCAGGGCUAGCUCAAGAGCACACAGGAUGUUAGCGCUUGUGCGAGGCUCGUUUCUGAGCUGUUCCCAGCAACCUACCCCCGCCUCCCCUCCCCUCAAAGCCUCUCCCACGGUCACUGCUGCCAGAGCCUAGAGCCCAGGCCCCAAGCAAAUCCAUCCUCCUCUCAGCCCCACAGCUGGGCUGAGUCAGGACUGGUCAGCUCAGGGGACAAUGGCCUGGAGAUGAGACACAGGCAGGCACUUGAGAGGGAAGAAGGAACUUGUGAACAGAAAGACAACGCCACCAUCAAGGUGGCAUUUCAGCGCUUUCUCCUCUAUUGUUGCGUUUAAUCCUCAAAAUGUGCCUGGGAGUUAGGAGAUUGUACCCAUAGCACAGAUGUGACUACUGAGAUUCAUUUAGUCAGUGACUCUACAACUCCCUUUCCUGAGCCCUGAGCCUGUUCGGGGUGCUAGGGAUACCGAGAUGAAUGCUUAGCGCCUUUGCCCCCGCUGCUCUGCCUCCUUUGGACUGGACCACUGGGCACUGGGGCUCCCCGUUCUUCCACGGGGAGCAGCUCCAACAGAACCCCUUUUCCAUACUACACACAUGAGUGGUUGGAUAUUAUCACCAAGAGAGACCUUAGCAAUUUUCCCAUUCAAAGCCCAGACCCUGAAUCCAGACAGCCCCAAUUUCAACUCCUGCUUUGCUCCCUUUCAUCAGGAUAGCUGUGGUCCAAUUAGCCUCUCCAAGCCUGCUUUUUCUUGUGUGAAAUAGGGGUACAAAAGCUCUCACCUCAGGGGGCUGACUGUGAAGCUUACUUAGGAUUUUCCACACCCUCUAUUUUCACAGGUAGAAACAGAGGCUAGAAGAAGGGGCUUGGCCACCGUCAUGCCCCCCCAGGAGCUUACGGACAGAACACAGAGUCUCCCCCAGGCUCAGUGACAUUUCCUGAAGAGAGUGGGGAACACGGAAGGGAAAGCAGCCCAUCCUCGGGGAGUUACCACCCAGACUGCUGACAGCCAGCACCAGCCUGACUGCCCUCCUCCAGGGCAAGGAUCACAUCAGGUUCAGUCUGUCUCCCCUCAGCUUGUCUGUAGAAGAUGUACCCAGUUUGCUGAAUGGACAGGUGAAAUGGUAAGAUCCUGUCUCAAACCCAAAGGAUUGGAUAAUUGGUCAGGGGGUGAGGCGCUGGGCAUCGAGUUUAAAAAUGAGGGCCCUGGGGCCAGCUGUUCCGAGUUAGGAGUCCCAGUUUAGCUCCCAGCUCCCUGCCCUUGGAAAAUUCCCUUCCCAGGGCACCUUGGGGAUGCAUGGGGAUUAGCACAAUUAAAACAUUUAGUACGUGACCGUUCUUAGUACGGUCAGCGCCACUGUGAUUGUUGUAGAUAGAAAGGACGAGAAGUAGGCAGCCUAUGGCCACAGAGGAGAUGGAGGCACAGCCCCUCCCCUGGUCAGAGGCCGCGCCUCAACCUGCUCUCCCUGCGUCAGAGCCUCUCCCCAGGAGCGUGGGACAGCUGCCAUCUACUUCCUGUGUCUACACCCAGGAGAGCUGCUAUCUUUGAGGCCAUAUUCUGAGCCCAGUGGGACAGUGGGCUGUGCUGGAAAUAGUCCUUGGCUCCCCCAGUUCAAGCUGGGUUGUGACCUGGAACCGUCCCCUCCCCAUCCCUGGCCCUCCAUAUAGGGGUGAUAACCACCCUGCCAGCCUUCACCAGCUGUUCUGACGAUGUGGCAGGACUGCAGUCCCUCAGCUACCCCCUUUUUUAUUUUUGCCAUAUCUGCAAACAAUUAUAAAAGCUUAAAAUGUAAGAUGAGCUGUUGUUAGUACCUAAAUGUACAUCGUUCCUAUAAGUGCAAAACUGUAACACUGUCCGUAAUUGGGAGAUGAGGGUGAGAAGACAGACAGUAAAAAUGUGUUUUUACCCUUUUCCCUGGUACUGUGGCUUGAGAGGCCCUGGGCCUGGGGCCUGAGGGAGCAAAGAAGGAUCUAGAAAAGUGUCAGAGACAAGAGAGCACCAAACUGAGGCUUUCUCCCCGCUGGUAAACAGGACUGAGAGCAAACCGGCAGACUUGAGAUACUCUGUCUUCCAAAGUUAGUUAGUGCCGAGGCCACAGAAUCCCCCAGAUCACUCGCUCCCUGCGCUGCUCGUGGCAAGUCAAAGAUGAGCAGGGUGACAGGGCUUCAGAAACAGCGACACACCAAGGAACGCAGGGGCUGGACUUAUCUGCCAGGGUCCAGAUAGCCGAUGAUCACUUUUGCAGAACAACCCUCCCUGGCUUCUUACUGAAACCGGCAUGUGGGCCAGGUGACCUUUUUCUCUUGCAGCGCUGGUGGGGGCCGUCUGAGACAGGAGUAGACAGGCUCUAGGCUGUCCAGCCCCCCCCCCCCAAGGCGGGGACUGAUGUUGCAAUCACUCCCUAUCCAAAUGCAGUUUAGAAAAAGUUCCUACAAGAUUUCCAUGUUAGAAGAAGGCAGUUCUUUGGUUGGAAAAGCCUCAGAAAAGGGCUGCCCCCUCAAUGGGCCGUGAGGACUAACCUUCCCCAAGUGACAGACCAGGGGACAAGGGCCUGAUUUCAGAUUUCUCCUGCAGGCAUAGGAGACACUUUAUUUUCAAGAAGGUAUGUGUUUUUCCUGCUCACUCCUAACCCUUCAAACAUCCCUGAAAGUACGUUUUAUCUGACAUCAAGGCCACCAUAGUGGGCAUCCAACAAAGCAGGAGGGUCCUCUGGGCGUGCCCUGAGGCCGUGAGGAGCAGGCGUGAAGGGGGACUCUGCCUGCUUACUCAGGCCUAAAGAGGAGAAUGAAUUAACUACAUGGCCGUUCAAUCAUCCACCAAAUGGCACGCAUGCGCCCUUCAUCGUGUAGAAAGGCCUCAGCAGGGCCCAGGGACACCUCCGAGUUAACAAGAUGUAGGUGCUGUCCCCAGGGAACUGGAGAUCCAGCCCAGUCAGAACAGAUGCAAAUAGCUCUGACACUAGAGAGAGUGAGAUUGAGGAAAGUGAUCCAGCCAUUCAAUCCAUGCUUCAGGGCGUCUACACUGCCUGGCGCUGCUUUCAGCGGGAGUACAGGUGAUAGGGUCCCUUCCCUUGUGGGUGGAUCAUGCAGUCCACAAGUGGAAGUGGCCUUAAACAAAAACUGCUGUGGUAAAGGAUUAGAAAGAGGGCACGGGAUGUUUAAGGAUAUGACCAGGGUGUCCUGAUGUCUGAGGAAGUCGGGGAAUGCCUUCCGGAAGAAGUGGCCAUUUGCGUGAAUACUAAGCACAUGAAGGGAAGCAGCAUGGCAGCUGGGAGCCUAAGGGCGUGGGUGCAAGGCUCCCUGGAGGAGUGGAAGGAUGGGGCAGUGGCCCAAGAGGAAGAGGUUGGCUGCAGCCAAAUGGAACUGGCACCAUAGCCUUCGGUGAGGGUUUCAGAGUCUAGCCGGAGGGCAAUGGAAGCCCUUUCUGGAUUUAAGGAGGAGAGAGAGGUGACCAUAUUUGCAUUUUAUGAAAUCACUCUGGGAGGAUGUCUGGGAGG